Molecule: non-coding RNA, 49 nt
Organism: Microbacterium sp. SA39
Lineage: Bacteria; Bacillati; Actinomycetota; Actinomycetes; Micrococcales; Microbacteriaceae
Source: Rfam
UGGGCUGGCCGUGAGGCCCUGGUCCACCCUUUAGGCGGGGACAUCCCCC